CAGUAGCCACGGUAAUACGGAGGGUGCAAGCGUUAAUCGGAAUUACUGGGCGUAAAGCGCACGCAGGCGGUCUGUCAAGUCGGAUGUGAAAUCCCCGGGCUCAACCUGGGAACUGCAUUCGAAACUGGCAGGCUAGAGUCUUGUAGAGGGGGGUAGAAUUCCAGGUGUAGCGGUGAAAUGCGUAGAGAUCUGGAGGAAUACCGGUGGCGAAGGCGGCCCCCUGGACAAAGACUGACGCUCAGGUGCGAAAGCGUGGGGAGCAAACAGGAUUAGAGACCCCUGUAGUCCCUGUCUCUUAUAC
RNAcentral lists this ribosomal RNA (301 nucleotides) under uncultured bacterium. RNAcentral's name for it is "partial 16S ribosomal RNA". It matches the Rfam family "Bacterial small subunit ribosomal RNA", at positions 509 to 807 of the family's 1533-position model. The record is from RNAcentral.